GACGAACGCUGGCGGCGUGCUUAACACAUGCAAGUCGAACGGAAGGGCCCUGCUUUUGUGGGGUGCUCGAGUGGCGAACGGGUGAGUAACACGUGAGUAACCUGCCCUUGACUUUGGGAUAACUUCAGGAAACUGGGGCUAAUACCGGAUAGGAGCUCCUGCUGCAUGGUGGGGGUUGGAAAGUUUCGGCGGUUGGGGAUGGACUCGCGGCUUAUCAGCUUGUUGGUGGGGUAGUGGCUUACCAAGUCUUUGACGGGUAGCCGGCCUGAGAGGGUGACCGGCCACAUUGGGACUGAGAUACGGCCCAGACUCCUACGGGAGGCAGCAGUGGGGAAUAUUGCACAAUGGGCGGAAGCCUGAUGCAGCAACGCCGCGUGCGGGAUGACGGCCUUCGGGUUGUAAACCGCUUUCGCCUGUGACGAAGCGUGAGUGACGGUAAUGGGUAAAGAAGCACCGGCUAACUACGUG
RNAcentral lists this ribosomal RNA (468 nucleotides) under uncultured bacterium. RNAcentral's name for it is "partial 16S ribosomal RNA". It matches the Rfam family "Bacterial small subunit ribosomal RNA", at positions 28 to 507 of the family's 1533-position model. The record is from RNAcentral.